This 82-nucleotide transfer RNA is filed under the name Microcaldota archaeon. RNAcentral's name for it is "Candidatus Micrarchaeota archaeon (hot springs metagenome) tRNA-Ser". Lineage: Archaea; Nanobdellati; Microcaldota. The record is from RNAcentral.
GCUGGGGUCGCCUAGAGGCAUGGCGGCAGCCUGCUAAGCUGUUACCCGAAAGGGUGCGUGGGUUCGAAACCAAACCCAGGGG